UACGUAGGUGGCGAGCGUUGUCCGGAUUUACUGGGCGUAAAGAGCGCGCAGGCGGUCGUUCAAGUCGCGUGUGAAAGCCCCCGGCUCAACUGGGGAGGGUCACGCGAUACUGAUCGACUCGAAGGCAGGAGAGGGUAGUGGAAUUCCCGGUGUAGUGGUGAAAUGCGUAGAUAUCAGGAGGAACACCGGUGGCGAAGGCGCUCAUCUGGCCCAAUACUGACGCUGAGGCGCGAAAGCUAGGGGAGCAAACGGG
RNAcentral lists this ribosomal RNA (253 nucleotides) under uncultured bacterium. RNAcentral's name for it is "partial 16S ribosomal RNA". It matches the Rfam family "Bacterial small subunit ribosomal RNA", at positions 524 to 776 of the family's 1533-position model. The record is from RNAcentral.